This 253-nucleotide ribosomal RNA is filed under the name uncultured bacterium. RNAcentral's name for it is "partial 16S ribosomal RNA". It matches the Rfam family "Bacterial small subunit ribosomal RNA", at positions 524 to 776 of the family's 1533-position model. The record is from RNAcentral.
UACGUAGGGCGCAAGCGUUGUCCGGAAUUAUUGGGCGUAAAGAGCUCGUAGGUGGUUUGUCGCGUCUGCCGUGAAAGCCCGGGGCUUAACUCCGGGUCUGCGGUGGAUACGGGCAGACUAGAGGCAGGUAGGGGAGAACGGAAUUCCCGGUGUAGCGGUGAAAUGCGCAGAUAUCAGGAGGAACACCGGUGGCGAAGGCGGGUCUCUGGGCCGAUACUGACGCUGAGGAGCGAAAGCGUGGGGAGCGAACAGG